CCGUAUGGCAAGAAAGAGAGGUCCCACAGUCUUUGGCCUGGUAAGGAAUGAUAGAGCCCAUCCCGAGGAGUAGAACAUCGGGAGUAUAUUGUAUACCCCUGUACAAUGUUGAUGAAAACCUAGACCAAUGUUAUGUAGGCAGUACCGCUAGGACAUUAGAAAAAAGAAUAACUGAACAUAAGGCAGAUAUCGCACAUGGCAGAUUGACUACCGCCCUAUCGACUAUAGCAUAUGAACGUGAUGUGACAAUAGACUGGUCCCGUGCUGACAUCAUAAGAUCGGUUACUGGCUCUAAAGGCCUUACUAUGUUUGA
RNAcentral lists this long non-coding RNA (313 nucleotides) under Androctonus crassicauda. Lineage: Eukaryota; Metazoa; Arthropoda; Arachnida; Scorpiones; Buthidae. The record is from RNAcentral.